RNAcentral lists this ribosomal RNA (466 nucleotides) under uncultured bacterium. RNAcentral describes it as "partial 16S ribosomal RNA". It matches the Rfam family "Bacterial small subunit ribosomal RNA", at positions 28 to 507 of the family's 1533-position model. The record is from RNAcentral.
GAUGAACGCUGGCGGCGUGCUUAACACAUGCAAGUCGAACGAUGAAGCCCAGCUUGCUGGGCGGAUUAGUGGCGAACGGGUGAGUAACACGUGAGUAACCUGCCCUUGACUCUGGGAUAAGCCCGGGAAACUGGGUCUAAUACCGGAUAGGAGCGCCUGUCGCAUGACGGGUGCUGGAAAGAUCUUUCGGUCAUGGAUGGACUCGCGGCCUAUCAGCUUGUUGGUGAGGUAACGGCUCACCAAGGCGACGACGGGUAGCCGGCCUGAGAGGGUGACCGGCCACACUGGGACUGAGACACGGCCCAGACCCCUACGGGAGGCAGCAGUGGGGAAUAUUGCACAAUGGGCGAAAGCCUGAUGCAGCGACGCCGCGUGAGGGAUGACGGCCUUCGGGUUGUAAACCUCUUUCAGCAGGGAAGAAGCGAAAGUGACGGUACCUGCAGAAGAAGCACCGGUUAACUACGUG